CCUACGGGAGGCUGCAGUGAGGAAUAUUGGUCAAUGGGCGCGAGCCUGAACCAGCCAAGUCGCGUGAGGGAAGACGGUCCUAUGGAUUGUAAACCUCUUUUGUCGGGGAGCAAAAGACGCCACGCGUGGCGUUCCGAGAGUACCCGAAGAAAAAGCAUCGGCUAACUCCGUGCCAGCAGCCGCGGUAAUACGGAGGAUGCGAGCGUUAUCCGGAGUUAUUGGGUUUAAAGGGUGCGCAGGCGGAAGAUCAAGUCAGCGGUAAAAUUGAGGGGCUCAACCUCUUCGAGCCGUUGAAACUGGUUUUCUUGGGUGAGUGAGAGGUAGGCGGAAUGCGUGGUGUAGCGGUGAAAUGCAUAG
RNAcentral lists this ribosomal RNA (357 nucleotides) under uncultured bacterium. Its description in RNAcentral is "partial 16S ribosomal RNA". It matches the Rfam family "Bacterial small subunit ribosomal RNA", at positions 338 to 693 of the family's 1533-position model. The record is from RNAcentral.